Molecule: ribosomal RNA, 253 nt
Filed under: uncultured bacterium
Lineage: Bacteria
Description: partial 16S ribosomal RNA
Rfam family: Bacterial small subunit ribosomal RNA
Source: RNAcentral
UACGUAGGGUGCAAGCGUUAAUCGGAAUUACUGGGCGUAAAGCGUGCGCAGGCGGUUCGUUGUGUCUGCUGUGAAAUCCCCGGGCUCAACCUGGGAAUGGCAGUGGAAACUGGCGAGCUUGAGUGUGGCAGAGGGGGGUGGAAUUCCGCGUGUAGCAGUGAAAUGCGUAGAGAUGCGGAGGAACACCGAUGGCGAAGGCAACCCCCUGGGCUAACACUGACGCUCAGGCACGAAAGCGUGGGGAGCAAACAGG